CCUACGGGUGGCAGCAGUGAGGAAUAUUGGUCAAUGGACGAGAGUCUGAACCAGCCAAGUAGCGUGAAGGAUGACUGCCCUACGGGUUGUAAACUUCUUUUAUAAAGGAAUAAAACGAGGCACGUGUGCCUUUUUGCAUGUACUUUAUGAAUAAGGAUCGGCUAACUCCGUGCCAGCAGCCGCGGUAAUACGGAGGAUCCGAGCGUUAUCCGGAUUUAUUGGGUUUAAAGGGAGCGGAGAUGGGUGGUGAAGUCAGUGGGGAAAGUUUGCGGCUCAACCGUAAAAUUGCAAUUGAUACUGGCAGUCUUGAGUACAGUUGAGGUAUGCGGAAUUCGUGGUGUAGCGGUGAAAUGCUUAGAUAUCACGAAGAACCCCGAUUGCGAAGGCAGCUUACUAAAGUGUGACUGACAUUGAUGCUCGAAAGUGUGGGUAUCAAACAGGAUUAGAUACCCCUGUAGUC
This 460-nucleotide ribosomal RNA is filed under the name uncultured bacterium. RNAcentral describes it as "partial 16S ribosomal RNA". It matches the Rfam family "Bacterial small subunit ribosomal RNA", at positions 338 to 795 of the family's 1533-position model. The record is from RNAcentral.